Molecule: transfer RNA, 68 nt
Filed under: Marmota monax (woodchuck)
Lineage: Eukaryota; Metazoa; Chordata; Mammalia; Rodentia; Sciuridae
Description: tRNA.Ala
Source: RNAcentral
GGAUUGUGGCUCAGUGGUAGAGCGCUCACUGAGCACAUGCAAGGCCCUGGGUUCGAUUCUCAGUACCA